RNAcentral lists this unclassified non-coding RNA (109 nucleotides) under soil metagenome. RNAcentral describes it as "partial internal transcribed spacer 1". The record is from RNAcentral.
UUGAUUGGUCGAAAGACCUUAUCAGAUUCUACCACCUCUGUGAACCGUUGACCUCCGGGUUAAUAAUCAAACAUCAGCGUAACGAACGUAAGAGUAUCUUAAUUAAACA